GACGAACGCUGGCGGCGUGCUUAACACAUGCAAGUCGAACGGAAAGGCCCUGCUUUUGUGGGGUGCUCGAGUGGCGAACGGGUGAGUAACACGUGAGUAACCUGCCCUUGACUUUGGUAUAACUUCAGGAAACUGGGGCUAAUACCGGAUAGGAUCUCCUGCUGCAUGGUGGGGUUUGGAAAGUUUCGGCGGUUGGGGAUGGACUCGCGGCUUAUCAGCUUGUUGGUGGGGUAGUGGCUUACCAAGGCUUUGACGGGUAGCCGGCCUGAGAGGGUGACCGGCCACAUUGGGACUGAGAUACGGCCCAGACUCCUACGGGAGGCAGCAGUGGGGAAUAUUGCACAAUGGGCGGAAGCCUGAUGCAGCAACGCCGCGUGCGGGAUGACGGCCUUCGGGUUGUAAACCGCUUUCGCCUGUGACGAAGCGUGAGUGACGGUAAUGGGUAAAGAAGCACCGGCUAACUACGUG
This 468-nucleotide ribosomal RNA is filed under the name uncultured bacterium. RNAcentral's name for it is "partial 16S ribosomal RNA". It matches the Rfam family "Bacterial small subunit ribosomal RNA", at positions 28 to 507 of the family's 1533-position model. The record is from RNAcentral.